This 382-nucleotide ribosomal RNA is filed under the name Salmonella enterica subsp. enterica serovar Typhimurium. Its description in RNAcentral is "bacterial SSU rRNA". It matches the Rfam family "Bacterial small subunit ribosomal RNA", at positions 77 to 495 of the family's 1533-position model. Lineage: Bacteria; Pseudomonadati; Pseudomonadota; Gammaproteobacteria; Enterobacterales; Enterobacteriaceae. The record is from RNAcentral.
UUUCUUGAUGGAGGGGAGCGGCAGACGGGUGAGUAACGCGUGGGAAUCUACCUAGCUCUACGGAAUAACCCAGGGAAACUUGGACUAAUACCGUAUACGUCCGAGAGGAGAAAGAUUUAUCGGAGUUAGAUGAGCCCGCGUUGGAUUAGCUAGUUGGUGGGGUAAAGGCCUACCAAGGCGACGAUCCAUAGCUGGUCUGAGAGGAUGAUCAGCCACACUGGGACUGAGACACGGCCCAGACUCCUACGGGAGGCAGCAGUGGGGAAUAUUGGACAAUGGGCGCAAGCCUGAUCCAGCCAUGCCGCGUGAGUGAUGACGGCCUUAGGGUUGUAAAGCUCUUUCAACGGUGAAGAUAAUGACGGUAACCGUAGAAGAAGCCCCG